This is a small nuclear RNA of Nycticebus coucang (slow loris), 107 nucleotides long. NCBI's taxonomy places the organism in Eukaryota, Metazoa, Chordata, Mammalia, Primates, Lorisidae. The record is from RefSeq and is a predicted model, not a curated record.
GUGCUUGGUUCAGCAUCACUUACACUAAAAUUGGAAUGAUACAGAGAAGAUUAGCAUGGCCUUGGUGCAAGGACAACACUCAAAUUCACGAAGUAUUCCAUAUUUUU